GCCGACCCUUCUCUCUCCCACUCUCUCACCCCUAUUCCAUUUCUCUCUCUCUCUCUGAACACUCGUCUCUGUGGCUCUCUUUUUCUCUCUAUCGCUAUUUCAUCUCAGAUCCAAUCAUCCGCUGUAAGUCAUUACACCUCUAAUUUCAAUUUCCUUUUAGAUCCCUAUUUUUUUGUUCAGAAAAUGGAUAGAAGGAUUUUUUAUUUUUGUUUUUAUUUAAGCCCAGUUGCGGCUUUUGAGUGUUCUUUUUAUUAUAGAAUAUUGUGAAGACUAAAAUUUAAGUCUGUCACAGCGGAACUCAAUUUUGUAAUCUAUCUGGAUUGAUUUAAUUUUGGUUCUGGAUUGAAUUAAUUUGGUUUUAAUUGAUUGAUUAAUUAAUUGAUUCUGUUUGUAUUUAUUAUUUGAGAGUCGGGUAAUUAUAAUUGCUGAAAUGUGCGCGAACUGUUUGUUCUGGAUUAUAUGUUUUAAGGGUUUGACUUUGGAUUGGGUUGGUAAAAGUGGGUUUUAUUCUAAAGAAAAGUUGUUUUUAGCUAGAUUUCGAUUUUUUAGAACUUUUGUUUUUUCAAUUAUUUAAUUUAAAAAUUUACCUCCUAGAUAUUAUAUUCAGCGAGUUGGAUUUUGAGACACUGUUAAUCUGCCAUCACAUUUCAUUUGAAUUAGGCUUAUAUUAAUUUGGUCUUAGUUUCUGUUUGACAUAUGUAAGUAUUUGUGUUCAAGCUCAGAAAAUAUCUAACUACACAAUAUUCAAGUUUUUUUAAGCAACCAUGGGUGACGAAGGAGAAAAGACUUGCCCCCUCUGUGCUGAGGAGAUGGAUUUGACUGAUCAGCAGUUGAAGCCUUGCAAGUGUGGCUAUGAGGUAACUACUUCUAUCUCAUCAUAUUUUGAUGCCUUAAAUUGCCAAAACCUCAAGGUUUCUGGAAUCCACACAGUCCCACAACUGUCCAUUGUGCCCCUUUUUGAAUUGUAUGGAAUUCAGCAUCCUAUGCCAUUAAUGCAAAAAGUCUAAUGGUAAUCACCUUAAAGUUGACUAGUGUACAUUAGCUUAUGUUCGAUUUUGUACCAAUAUAAAAACGAGGAAAUAACAAGAAGGUAGAGACUGAAGCUGUUGUUGUUAGGAUCUAUUUGUGUGAGAUAACUGUCUUUUCUUUAUCAAUCAUUUGUAUGCUUUGCAGCUUCAGAUUUUACACCAUCUAAUUUCAGCAUGACUGAGAUUUUAUGCCAUAUAAGUAGGAUUAGGAUGGAAACUUUUUGAGUUACUUUUUUGAUAUAUAAAAAUGAACGUUCAAGCGUCAUGAAGUUGGUAUUGCCUGAAAAGGCAUAAACUUGAUAAAACUUUUUUAACAUCUUCGUUUGUAAGUCUUGUGGAAACAUGAAUAGUUAGAUCUGAAUACGAUAUUUUAAUGGCAUGUAGUACUUCCUUAGACAGAGAGAUGUGCUAUGAGCAAUAGCUGUCUGAUUUUUAUGCCCUGUUUCAUUGACAUAGUGAAUGAGAGAAUAGGCGGAUGUUGUCUGGUUUUAAAUCUAUUGGCUAGAAAUACCCUUUUAAAAGCUGUUAGUAUAGUUUACUAUUCUCCGUGGGUGCUCCCACAUACAUGCGUUCAUGUGACAUUGUGAUUAGUAUUCUGGGAACCAAAAAAUUUCAUAUGAAACAACAAUGCACUUUAGGUGCAACACUGCCGGCCCACAACUGCUUCACGAUUCAAUACUGGUGCUUGACCCUUAUCUCAUUAAUCAGCUAUGAAUUCUGCAUGAUGAUAACUACACUGACAUCAUUGCCAUUAGUUCAUCUUGCCCUACGCCUUUAUGGUGCAGGACUGACUAAAAAUGAGAUAAAUGUGUGUGCAUUGCGAUGAAAACCUAGAUUAAAUUAAGGUUAACAUGGCAGUAGAAGUCUCUAGUUGAUGAUUAUAGAAAUAUAUUGGGAUUGAUAUUAGCUUCCCGGAAACUUAAUUAAGUUCAUGAGAUUCUUUGUUUAGAUUGAGUAAUAAGUAAAAUAAGGUUAUCAUCUAUCUGAGUUGCAAUUGCUUCAAUAAUAAAGGGUAUUGAGAAUUUAUCUGCCUCAUCAACUAGGCAAAAUAUCUCUCCCUUAGCCAGCUCUUCAAACAAGUGUUGUGGGGGCAGGGAAAUAUUAAUUAUGUUUGUUCCUUUUCCUUUUGUUCACUUUUUGAGGGUGUCUGUUUUUGGUAUUUUCAUUUUAUUUCAGUGGUGGGUGGAUGUGGAAAGUUGCCAUUUCUCCCUCCCACUAGCACACUCUGGUAGGAAUUUUAAAUUAUUGACCAGUGAAUUGUAAUCUUGAAAUAAAGUUCAUUUCCCAUCUAUUCAAGGAUCUUGCUACAGAAUGUUUAAUUAGGAUUUUGUGGUGAAAUAUAUGAUUUUUGAUGCUAUGAUCUUAUGCUUUUAUAGACAAUUUUUCAAAGAAAGCAACUGGCUUUAAAUAUUCAUCUGAAAAUUCUUAUCUCAGUCGACUGGAAGUUUCUGAAAAGAUGAACUAUGGUUUCUUUGAGCUUGCAGAAAAUCUGCUUCUAUAUUUGAUUUGUAAUUUUAUAAACUGUCAUCCAACACAUUAAAUAAAGAAUACACAGCAACUUUACUGUGGAAAGAAGCUGCAGAAGUUUCAGUGCCCCCAUUCUUGUUCUUUUUCUUUUUCUUUCGCUGAGAAGAUCACACAAAAUGAUGUUGAACUUGCUUGUGGUUCUUUAGAUACUUCAUGAAGUUGUAUUGUCAAAUUGUUGAUUUCCACCCAUGAUUUCUAUACAGGGCUAUUUUUAUUUGAUCUUUCUCAUAUACAACUAUAUUUGUGCAUGUCGAGAUUCUGUAUUUUAUUAUUAUUAUUAUUUUAUUUAUUUAUUUAUUUUUUUGCAAUUUUGUAGAUUUGUGUUUGGUGCUGGCAUCAUAUUAUGGACAUGGCUGAGAAAGAUGAGACAGAAGGGCGGUGUCCAGCAUGUCGUACACCUUAUGACAAAGAAAAGAUUGUUGGCACGGGAGCAAACUGUGAAAGGUAAUUCACUAUUGGUAUUUAAGAUGAAAUCUGCCGUGAAAACUCUUGCUGAUCGAGCAAGGUAAUUAUGUUGUUCUCUGAUAUCAUCAUGAUCUCCAUGAUCAUCAUAAUAGGUUGGUUUCUGAGAUGAGUACGGAGAAAAAAUUUAAGUCACAAAAGGGUAAGAGCAAAAUAUCGGAGGGAAGGAAGCAACUUAGUAGUGUAAGAGUUGUCCAAAGGAAUCUUGUUUAUGUUGUGGGGUUGCCAGUUAAUUUAGCAGAUGAAGAUGUAAGUGCCUCUUCUGUCAUUGCUCUUUCCCGUCCUUCUCUUUUCAUGUUCUCAACACUAUUGAUUUAUUUUGAAGCAGCUCCUCCAGCGUAAAGAAUAUUUUGGCCAGUAUGGAAAGGUGGUGAAGGUGUCUAUAUCGCGGACAGCAGCUGGUGCCAUACAACAGUUUGCAAAUAGUACAUGCAGUGUGUAAGUUUCUUCAAAUGAUGCCAAGUCAUUUUUCUACAAGUAUAAUAGUGUUCAAGUUCAAUUAUAAUGAUUUUGGUGUUAAACUUUUAGAAGUUAUGUAGGACAUUUAGGAUGGGUUUGGAGCCUUGCUGCAG
RNAcentral lists this long non-coding RNA (3589 nucleotides) under Olea europaea subsp. europaea. Lineage: Eukaryota; Viridiplantae; Streptophyta; Magnoliopsida; Lamiales; Oleaceae. The record is from RNAcentral.